UACGGGGGGGGCAAGCGUUGUUCGGAAUUACUGGGCGUAAAGGGCUCGUAGGUGGCCAACUAAGUCAGACGUGAAAUCCCUCGGCUUAACCGGGGAACUGCGUCUGAUACUGGAUGGCUUGAGUUCGGGAGAGGGAUGCGGAAUUCCAGGUGUAGCGGUGAAAUGCGUAGAUAUCGGGAGGAACACCGGUGGCGAAGGCGGCGACCUGGGUAGAUACUGACGCUGAGGUGCGAAAGCGUGGGGAGCAAACAGG
This 253-nucleotide ribosomal RNA is filed under the name uncultured bacterium. RNAcentral describes it as "partial 16S ribosomal RNA". It matches the Rfam family "Bacterial small subunit ribosomal RNA", at positions 524 to 776 of the family's 1533-position model. The record is from RNAcentral.